RNAcentral lists this long non-coding RNA (1044 nucleotides) under Chloebia gouldiae (Gouldian finch). RNAcentral describes it as "Erythrura gouldiae (Gouldian finch) lncRNA (ENSEGOG00005014771.1)". The record is from RNAcentral. Lineage: Eukaryota; Metazoa; Chordata; Aves; Passeriformes; Passeridae.
ACCAGAGACUGAAGAACUGCUCCCUGCCAGGGCUGAGGCUGAAAAAUAUUUUAAACCAAGUCCUGAUCUUGAACUUACCUUGCUGUGCUCACGUUGGAGCAGCUUGUGAGACAAACACCUUCUUUACCAGAUGAUUGCAGAGGAGUGUUCCUGCCACGCUGGAGUCCCACAUUUGCAGCAAUCCCCCUGUCUCACCCCGUGAGGUGCCUGCAGAGGAAGGAGGGGAUCACAGACACCCCGAGUGCAGCUCCCAGCCUCUGCAGCAAACUCUCGAGGCAGGAGGUCAUCCUCAGGGAUCUGAGCAGCCACUUCUGACCUGAACCUCGGGCCGGGCUGUGAAACCAGCUGAGACUUGUUCCUACAGCACCGCAGGCUUGGAAAUCAAAGCUGAGCUCCAGGGAGAGCACGGGCAGCGUUCAGAGUCGGGAGGAGCUGGGACGGAUGGGCUGGAUUUUCCCCGGCUGCCUCUCUGCAGAGAGGCCACUGCAGGUCUGAGAGAUCAAGAGCUUUCCCCAGAGCCGGGCUGUGGAGGCAUGGCAGCCCCGAGCAGUGCAAUUCUUUCCUCCUUCCCUUUUCUAUUUUCAUUUCAUCACCAUGUUCAGGACUGAGUGGUAACGAGCAAGUCCCCAAAUAACCUGGUUUCCAGCAGCAGCCUCGCUUUUCCACUGCGAGCAAAACCCGUUUCUGGCAUGGUUUGUCCUCUUGUGUGUCCUGCAUGACCCCAUAGGAGCUGUGGGCUCUUUGUAGGGGCCUGGGACAAGACCAAGAGCAAAGCAAACCCGUUUGAGUUCAUCCCAUGGGGUUCACAGCCCCACAAACCAAAAGGCUGAAAAAUCCCUGGCUUGGGAGUCGCGAGUGCGGUAAAAAGCCCUGGGAAUACACAGCCAGUGAUUUGUGUGAGGGAGGAUUUCGCUGAGCAACAAGGAUUCAGACAAACUUGCAGAAGUGGAAGUGCAGCUUAAUGGCAAAGCUGGGUUCAUUUGUCAAGCCCCUUCCUUACUUCUGUACUUAGGAGAGUGAAACAAUAAUUGGGAGCAAAGCUUA